ACCAGAGUCUCAAUUGAUUUUAGAGCAAGAAAGAAGCCAAGACGAUGCCAGAGCAAGGAUACUGUUUGGUGGUAACGGACUAUAACGGAAAUGAUCAUCGGCUGUUAUUCUCCACGAAAGUCAUCACCGGUGACGAAAUCAUAGCAACUAUAUUGAAUGAUUCCAGAAUGCCAGAAAUUAAAGGAAUAGCCGUAUGGGUUAAAUGCAGUGGCGAACCUAUAACUAGGACUAAACUAUUGUGGGCUGACAGUGACCACUUGUUCCCCUCAUGCAUGCUGGGAGGAAAUCCGAUGAGAUGAUGAUGAAUUCAUGAUCGAAUAAUCUCAUGCAGUCUUCUAUUGUUAAUUUUUCCCUUUUUUUUUUGAAAUAUUGUGUUUGGAUGUUUGCUGUUUGGAUUAAUCAGGAUAUAUAUAAUUCCUGGGUUUAAAUCUUCAAUAAACAAAAUCAAGAAGGUAGGACUAAACUAUUGUGGGCUGACAGUGACCACUUGUUCCUCUCAUGCAUGCUGGGAGGAAAUCCGAUGAGAUGAUGAAUUCAUGAUCGAAUAAUCUCAUGCAGUCUUGUAUUGUUUUUUUUUUUUGAAAUAUUGUGUUUGGAUGUUUGCUGUUUUGAUUAAUCAGGAUAUAUAUAAUUCCUGGGUUUAAAUCUUCAAUAAACAGAAUCAAGAAGGUAGUAAUUGUUUUCUUAUUUCUAAACUUUGCAAGUUUUGGAUAAAAAAUCACAAUCUUUGUAUACUUCCAAACCAGGUGUUGUGUGGAGUUCAUUUUCCUUGUAGCAUGCGCACCUGCGG
RNAcentral lists this long non-coding RNA (790 nucleotides) under Zostera marina. RNAcentral's name for it is "long non-coding RNA (ZMAR_LNC003911)". The record is from RNAcentral. Lineage: Eukaryota; Viridiplantae; Streptophyta; Magnoliopsida; Alismatales; Zosteraceae.